GGCACAGUGGUCUAAUGGUAAGACUCCCGCUGCGUAGAUACCUGCUGAUUGUAGUCUGGUUGGCACAACUACGAGAGGCUUGUGCCAAGCAGACUAGCUGAUUGCAUGCAGAGGGUGGGGAUCUGGGUUCAAUUCCCAGCUGAGCAA
Non-coding RNA from Tirmania nivea, 147 nucleotides. NCBI's taxonomy places the organism in Eukaryota, Fungi, Ascomycota, Pezizomycetes, Pezizales, Pezizaceae. The record is from the annotation of a GenBank genome assembly.